UCCUGUUUGUUUACAAUUUGAUAGCUACUGAAGACAGGGUUAUCGCUCGAACCGUCUGGAAAGUUCUAAGGGAGACAUCUGGUGGAAGAGAUGCAGAGCGUGUUGCCCUGAAGUUGGAAAU
Long non-coding RNA from Hibiscus syriacus, 121 nucleotides. RefSeq lists it as uncharacterized. Lineage: Eukaryota; Viridiplantae; Streptophyta; Magnoliopsida; Malvales; Malvaceae. The record is from RefSeq and is a predicted model, not a curated record. The transcript has 2 exons.